RNAcentral lists this ribosomal RNA (588 nucleotides) under uncultured bacterium. RNAcentral's name for it is "bacterial SSU rRNA". It matches the Rfam family "Bacterial small subunit ribosomal RNA", at positions 338 to 916 of the family's 1533-position model. The record is from RNAcentral.
CCUACGGGAGGCAGCAGUGGGGAAUUUUGGACAAUGGGCGCAAGCCUGAUCCAGCAAUGCCGCGUGAGUGAAGAAGGCCUUCGGGUUGUAAAGCUCUUUUGUCAGGGAAGAAACGGUGGAGGUUAAUACCUUCUGCUAAUGACGGUACCUGAAGAAUAAGCACCGGCUAACUACGUGCCAGCAGCCGCGGUAAUACGUAGGGUGCAAGCGUUAAUCGGAAUUACUGGGCGUAAAGCGUGCGCAGGCGGUUGUGCAAGACAGAUGUGAAAUCCCCGGGCUCAACCUGGGAAUUGCAUUUGUGACUGCACGGCUAGAGUGUGUCAGAGGGGGGUAGAAUUCCACGUGUAGCAGUGAAAUGCGUAGAGAUGUGGAGGAAUACCGAUGGCGAAGGCAGCCCCCUGGGAUAACACUGACGCUCAUGCACGAAAGCGUGGGGAGCAAACAGGAUUAGAUACCCUGGUAGUCCACGCCCUAAACGAUGUCUACUAGUUGUCGGGUCUUAAUUGACUUGGUAACGCAGCUAACGCGUGAAAGUAGACCGCCUGGGGAGUACGGUUCGCAAGAAUUAAAACUUAAAGGAAUUGACGG